Octopus sinensis (East Asian common octopus) is the source of this 902-nucleotide long non-coding RNA. RefSeq lists it as uncharacterized. The record is from RefSeq and is a predicted model, not a curated record. Lineage: Eukaryota; Metazoa; Mollusca; Cephalopoda; Octopoda; Octopodidae. The transcript is spliced from 2 exons.
GUAUAUAUAUAUAUAUAUAUACAAACAUCUACAUUUAUGCAUGCUUGACAAUCAGUGUUGGUUUGUUCGUACCUCAGUAACUUUAGCAGUUCAACAAAAUAGAAUAAUUACCAGACUUACAAAAACACAACCUACUAUAAUUUCAGAGCUGUACCCCUAGCAUAGCCAUAGUCCAAUGACUGAAAUAAAUUAAAAAUAACAGAUAACUGAUAAGUUUGAUAUUCAAAAUAUAAUGCUUGUUGGUGAUUUAUUCUAUCCACAGGGAGAAAUACAGAGACAUUUAUUUGCAAUUGUCACUAUACAGUGAUGGCUGUGAUGUGUUUUGGGAAAAAAAGGCUUAACUUCUAUUAUGUUAUAAUUAUAGUAGAGAAUGAACGCUGUGUAAAUGCAUAAUUAAUGACCAGAUUUGAAUAAAUUACCAAGUUAGCUCUGUUUAUGCAAAUUGAACUAAUCAAGUCAGCAAACUCAUAAUAUAUUUUUGCAUAUAUCUGUAUGUGUAUGUUCCUUUUAUGUAAUGAGAUGUGUAAUCGAGUGUCUUUAUAUAUAUAUAUAUAUAUAUAUAUAUAUAUAUAUGCAUGUACAGUCACACAUUUGGUGCUUUAGUGUGGAUCUGCCCAUACUACAGCACUACUCGAAAAUUCCUUUACGUACAUUUAUACACUCUUAUGCUCCCAUAGUGAAACUUUACCGACUGUCCUUCCAACACACUCCAUAUUCGGUGGGUUUUUUUUGGGGUGGGGGGUUAGUAUACAGAUGCUUACAACAAAACUUAACUCCCCCUCCCUAUAUUUCCUUGUUAUUGUUGAAUCAAUUUUGACAUGCAUGGAAGAAGUCAUAGCUGUCUAUGACUGAUUUUAUAAACAUUUACAAUGAAAAUGUUUUAAUAAAAAUGUUAAACUGAA